Molecule: ribosomal RNA, 253 nt
Filed under: uncultured bacterium
Lineage: Bacteria
Description: partial 16S ribosomal RNA
Rfam family: Bacterial small subunit ribosomal RNA
Source: RNAcentral
UACGGAGGGUGCAAGCGUUAUUCGGAAUUACUGGGCGUAAAGCGCGUGCAGGCGGGAAAGUAAGUCUGAUGUGAAAGCCCUGGGCUUAACCCGGGAAGUGCAUUGGAUACUGCUUUUCUUGAGUCCUGGAGAGGAUGGGGGAAUUCCCGGUGUAGAGGUGAAAUUCGUAGAGAUCGGGAGGAAUAUCAGUGGCGAAGGCGCCCAUCUGGACAGUGACUGACGCUGAGACGCGAAAGCGUGGGGAGCAAACAGG